Syngnathoides biaculeatus (alligator pipefish) is the source of this 1892-nucleotide long non-coding RNA. RefSeq lists it as uncharacterized. NCBI's taxonomy places the organism in Eukaryota, Metazoa, Chordata, Actinopteri, Syngnathiformes, Syngnathidae. The record is from RefSeq and is a predicted model, not a curated record. The transcript is spliced from 4 exons.
CAUCCUUUGAUAUCCUCUCAAUUGUACAUUGUGAAACAUAAUAUUGCAAUACGUUAGGUUUAGCUUUUUUGGUGUUAAUAUGGUUUCCUUAACCAUAGCCAUAACUCAAACCAUAACCAUAGAAGUAAGUUUUCACCGGGUCGCGGGUCAUGUUGGAGCCUAUCCCAGCUGUCAACGGGCAGGAGAGGAAAGCGGAGUGCCCGGAGGAAACCCACAUAGACACGGGGAGAACAUGCAAACUUCACACUGGCGGGUCCGAGAUCGAACCCGAGACCUCAGAACUGUGAGGCCAACGCUUUCCAGCUGACCCACCAUGCCGCCUUCUUAUAAUUAUGAAUGCGGAAAAUAUAUCACUACAGUAUUACGAAGGUAUACGGCCGCCUCACGCCCCUGUCUCGAUGGCUGCCAACUCCCUCUCCUGCUUCAAUGGCGACCGGUUCGUGGGCGUCUGAGGGGCCAUGCAACGACGGCCACCGAUCUUCGGCUGCCCCCCGACCUAGCCCAAGCGGCAACUGAUUCCCGACUGCCUCAUGACCUAGCCUUGACAGCGACUGAUCCCCGGUCUCCUCAGAACGAAGCCUCGGCCGCGACCGCCUCACGACCGAGCCUUGGCGGUGACCGACACACGGCUGUCUCCUGACCGAGCCUCGGUGGCGACCAAUCCCCGGUUGUCUCACUACCACGUCCUUGGAGGUCUUCGUCCGGAGCAGUCACAUGCUUCCGUCUUGUUCCUGCUUCACCGUUGGGUUCCUCCUCGAAGACGUCCACCCGAAUCAUCCCGUGGGGUCCCUGGUGCUUGGCGUCCGGGUCGACCUCCUGACCUACCCAACCGGACGCCUCGCUUUUGGGGGCCUGGAUGGCCACCAGCCAGACUGGGGUUGGGGGGGGGGGUGGAUGAGCUCAGUAUUAAAAGGCCUAUGGAUGAUAUGUACCAUAUUUUCACGACUGUAAGAGGCAGAUAAAAGUCUUUUCUCCCAAAAUGGACAGCACACCUUAUCUAUGCACCAAGUUCCAAUUUCUGUAAAUAUUUUUUGUGUGACUUCAUUAAUGUACAACCAAACAUGCUGGUUACAUAGAUAGUAUGCAUGCAAACUGGGGUAUGUGUAACAUACAAGAGAAAAGAGAGUUGGUUAUAUUGUUGUUGUUUUUUUUUUUAAUUAAUUUCACCAAAAUCCCUCAAAUUGUGUUUUGGAUUAUCUUCACGAUUGUAAUUUUAUUUCCAGUCUGGCUUUAUACUUAAGAUUUUCUUUAUUUGCAAAGUCAGCACAGUCCCAGGAUUGCUUUAGACCAGGGGUGCCCAAACUUUUUUUUACCACAAGAUCUACUUUUCAAGCAGUCAGCCUCUCACGAUCGACUGGGGGUGGGAGGUGUCGCGUUUGUAAGGGUGGGCGUGACAUAUAUUUUUUUUUAAUGACCAAUAAUGAAAUACAAUGACCAAAGCACAAAGAUCUAGCCACUACAAAAAUGCAAUACAUUUAUUUUAAAGUGUUUUGAGGAUUCUGAUGGAUUAAUUGGAUAUAAAGUUUUUUCAUAUUUGCUUUCUUAGUUUUUAAUGCUUCAUUGCUUAUGUGAUGGGACGCAAUCAAGAGGCCCAUUGGGUGGCAUGGAAACACCAGACAGUGAUUCAGAAGACAACAUAAAGACUGAGGAUCUCAAGAGAAUCGUGAAGACAUUGCAAAGACUCACAUGGACUAUUUUUGUCACGGUUGCUUUGUUUGCCACAUUUCCUUUGUUGUGAUGCGGACCUCGCUAAGGAAUAAAAAAGUGGAGAUGUGAUUAGAACGGGUUGGAGAUUGUGAAAGAGACACAUGUCACGUUCUCCUUGCAAGCCAGAAGUUCCUCUUGUCUUCCUUCCUUGAGAAUUGUACUUUGUAUGUCCUAGGCUCCUUAAA